Molecule: transfer RNA, 73 nt
Filed under: Stegodyphus mimosarum
Lineage: Eukaryota; Metazoa; Arthropoda; Arachnida; Araneae; Eresidae
Rfam family: tRNA
About the family: Transfer RNA (tRNA) molecules are approximately 80 nucleotides in length.
Source: Rfam by way of RNAcentral
GCGUUUGUGGUGUAAGGGUCAACACGCUCAACGCGUAAUCGAGAGGUCCGUGGUUCGAUUCCCGGCAAACGCG